GUCUCAAUGGUGUAGUCGGUUAUCACGUACGCCUCACACGCGUAAGGUCUCCAGUUCGAUCCUGGAUUGAGACA
Molecule: transfer RNA, 74 nt
Filed under: Coemansia sp. IMI 203386
Lineage: Eukaryota; Fungi; Kickxellomycota; Kickxellomycetes; Kickxellales; Kickxellaceae
Also listed under: 4 other names
Description: tRNA-Val
Source: RNAcentral